UGGCGAACGGGUGAGUAACACGUGAGCAACGUGCCCAAGACUCUGGAAUAACUUCGGGAAACCGGAGCUAAUACUGGAUACGAGACGUAAAGGCAUCUUUAGCGUCUGGAAAGAAUUUCGGUCUUGGAUCGGCUCACGGCCUAUCAGCUUGUUGGUGAGGUAAUGGCUCACCAAGGCGACGACGGGUAGCCGGCCUGAGAGGGUGACCGGCCACACUGGGACUGAGACACGGCCCAG
This 237-nucleotide ribosomal RNA is filed under the name uncultured Actinomycetes bacterium. RNAcentral's name for it is "uncultured actinobacterium partial 16S ribosomal RNA". It matches the Rfam family "Bacterial small subunit ribosomal RNA", at positions 96 to 334 of the family's 1533-position model. Lineage: Bacteria; Bacillati; Actinomycetota; Actinomycetes. The record is from RNAcentral.